GGUUAUUGUCCAUGUACGCUGCACACCAUUUAUUCCUCAUCCAACUAGACAUGAGAUGUGAUCUCGAAGAGAAACCUUGGGCCACUUUUCUUGGUGGGUUCCAAUAAUUUUCUUUGGCUCCAUGCCACUCUUCAGGCCAACUGCUAUUUUCUUUGUCUGUAAAUUUCAUUGCUCCUCUCAAGAAACAUAGGCCACUCUCAAGUCUCAACCUCUAUCUUCUCUGUUUAAGUUGAUAACGGGGCUUACCAGUAAGGCUUGUUUUAUUUUUACCUUAGGAGCCGGAUUUUGCCUCAGAGAUUAUAUGAUCUCACCCAAAUCUUCUCAUCUUCUGCAUAAGACUGCAAUUGGGUCAUCAACAAUGCAAGUUAAAC
Molecule: unclassified non-coding RNA, 371 nt
Filed under: Hevea brasiliensis (rubber tree)
Lineage: Eukaryota; Viridiplantae; Streptophyta; Magnoliopsida; Malpighiales; Euphorbiaceae
Source: RNAcentral